This 494-nucleotide long non-coding RNA is filed under the name Zostera marina. RNAcentral's name for it is "long non-coding RNA (ZMAR_LNC003884)". The record is from RNAcentral. Lineage: Eukaryota; Viridiplantae; Streptophyta; Magnoliopsida; Alismatales; Zosteraceae.
CAUGCCUAUCAAGUCUACUAGACCUAGAUCUUAGUCGAUUGGAUCUCGGGUCUACUAGACCUAGAUCUUAGUCGAUUGGAUCUCGGGUCUACUAGACGUUGAUCUUAGGCGACUAAGAGACUUGGUACACUAUAAAGGAUCAGAGUGCAUUUCAUUCCUUGGACCUUUGACCAAUCGACUAGCCCUAGUAGUAUGGCUCAAGAACCCAAUUCACAGUGGUGUGGUGCUAUCAACCCUCAUCGUCCAAACUUCCAGGGUUUAGGCAACACGACCAUAAACCUAUUGAUCUGGUUGAUAAGUCUAUAUACGUAGGAUCAUUAGUAUCAUCGGUAUCCCCCUAGCCUCGGAUUAGCGAGGGACUUCCCUGAAUCAAUUAAGUCUCUUGUAAUAAGUGUUCUUCUAUCCCUAAUACCUGUUUAUUUUAGAUUUAAAAGAUCUAUACUUUAUUCUUAAUGGUGUAAUCGUUGGAAGUUCAUAUUUUCCAAACAAAAUCA